This 1439-nucleotide ribosomal RNA is filed under the name uncultured bacterium. RNAcentral's name for it is "bacterial SSU rRNA". It matches the Rfam family "Bacterial small subunit ribosomal RNA". The record is from RNAcentral.
AGGGUUUGAUCAUGGCUCAGAACGUACGCUGGCGGCACGCCUAACACAUGCAAGUCGAACGAAGUAGCAAUACUUAGUGGCAGACGGGUGAGUAACAUGUAGGUAUCUACCCUUUGGCCUGGAAUAACACGAGGAAACUUGUGCUAAUACCGGAUAAGUCUUUACGGAGAAAGCUUUAUGCACCAUUGGAUGAGCCUGCACUUGAUUAGUUUGUUGGUAGGGUAAUGGCCUACCAAGACUGUGAUCAAUAGCUGAUUUGAGAGGAUGAUCAGCCACAUUGGGACUGAGACACGGCCCAAACUCCUACGGGAGGCAGCAGUGGGGAAUCUUGCACAAUGGAGGAAACUCUGAUGCAGCGAUGCCGCGUGAGUGAAGAAGGCCUUUGGGUUGUAAAGCUCUUUCGUCGGGGAAGAAAAUGACUGUACCCGAAUAAGAAGGUCCGGCUAACUUCGUGCCAGCAGCCGCGGUAAUACGAAGGGACCUAGCGUAGUUCGGAAUUACUGGGCUUAAAGAGUUCGUAGGUGGUUGAAAAAGUUGGUGGUGAAAUCCCAGAGCUUAACUCUGGAACUGCCAUCAAAACUUUUCAGCUGGAGUUUGAUAGAGGAAAGCAGAAUUUCUAGUGUAGAGGUGAAAUUCGUAGAUAUUAGAAAGAAUACCAAUUGCGAAGGCAGCUUUCUGGAUCAUUACUGACACUGAGGAACGAAAGCAUGGGUAGCGAAGAGGAUUAGAUACCCUCGUAGUCCAUGCCGUAAACGAUGUGUGUUAGACGUUGGAAAUUUAUUUUCAGUGUCGCAGCGAAAGCGAUAAACACACCGCCUGGGGAGUACGACCGCAAGGUUAAAACUCAAAUGAAUUGACGGGGACCCGCACAAGUAGUGGAGCAUGUGGUUUAAUUCGAAGAUACGCGCAGAACCUUACCAACACUUGACAUGUUCGUCGCGACUCUAAGAGAUUAGAGUUUUCGGUUCGGCCGGACGAAACACAGGUGCUGCAUGGCUGUCGUCAGCUCGUGUCGUGAGAUGUUGGGUUAAGUCCCGCAACGAGCGCAACCCUCACUUUUAGUUGCCAUCAUUUAGUUGGGCACUCUGAAAGAACUGCCAGUGAUAAGCUGGAGGAAGGUGGGGAUGACGUCAAGUCCUCAUGGCCCUUACGUGUUGGGCUACACACGUGCUACAAUGGUAUUUACAACAGGAAGCAAAACGGCGACGUUAAGCAAAUCCUCAAAAGAUACCUCAGUUCGGAUUGCACUCUGCAACUCGAGUGCAUGAAGCUGGAAUUACUAGUAAUCGUGGAUCAGCGUGCCACGGUGAAUGCGUUCCCGGGUCUUGUACACACCGCCCGUCACACCAUGGGAGUUGGUUCUACCUUAAGGCAAGGUUUUAAACCCUUGACCACGGUAUAGUCAGCGACUGGGGUGAAGUCGUAACAAGGUAACCGUA